CUCUUUUUGAUUAUAAUUUAAAGUAGGGCCUGCCCACUGAUUAUUUGAAGGGCCGCAGUAUUUUGACUGUGCAAAGGUAGCAUAAUCAUUAGUUUUUUAAUUGAAAGCUUGUAUGAAUGGUUUGAUGAAAAAAUUACUGUUUCAAUUUAAAUUUUAAGAAUUUUAUUUUUAAGUAAAAAAGCUUAAAUGGAGUUUAAAGACGAGAAGACCCUAUAGAGUUUAACUAAAUUUAAAUUUUUUAUUUAAGGAAUUAUUUUGUAAAGAUUUUAAGUAAGUUUUGUUGGGGUGACAAAAAAAUUUGAAUAACUUUUUUUAUAUAAUUAUACUAAUUAGUAAGUUUUUGAUCCAUAGGAUGAUAAAAAGACUAAAUUACCUUAGGGAUAACAGCGUAAUUUUUUUUUAUAGUUCAAAUUGAAAAAAAAGAUUGCGACCUCGAUGUUGGAUUAAAAUUAAUUUUUGGUGAAGAAGCUAAAAAAUUAGGUCUGUUCGACCUUUAAAAUUUUACAUGAUCUGAGUUUAAACCGGUGUAAGCCAGGUUGGUUUCUAUCUUAAAUUUAUAUAAUAUUUUAGUACGAAAGGAUCAAUUAUUGUAUUAAUAAUAAUAAAUUAAGAAUUUUAUUUUGGCAGAGUAGUGCAAUGGAUUUAGAAUCUUUAAAUGUGUAUAACACAAAUAAAAAUUGAUUUUCUUUUAAUUUUAUUAAAUUUUUUUAUUUUAUUUGUAGGUGUUUUAGUAGGGGUUGCUUUUUUAACGUUAUUAGAACGAAAGCUAUU
Molecule: ribosomal RNA, 771 nt
Filed under: Epilachna borealis (squash beetle)
Lineage: Eukaryota; Metazoa; Arthropoda; Insecta; Coleoptera; Coccinellidae
Description: partial 16S ribosomal RNA
Rfam family: Bacterial large subunit ribosomal RNA (bases 1-574)
Source: RNAcentral